Molecule: ribosomal RNA, 492 nt
Filed under: uncultured bacterium
Lineage: Bacteria
Description: partial 16S ribosomal RNA
Rfam family: Bacterial small subunit ribosomal RNA
Source: RNAcentral
AGUGAACGCUGGCGGUAGGCCUAACACAUGCAAGUCGAACGGCAGCACAGUAAGAGCUUGCUCUUACGGGUGGCGAGUGGCGGACGGGUGAGGAAUACAUCGGAAUCUACUUUUUCGUGGGGGAUAACGUAGGGAAACUUACGCUAAUACCGCAUACGACCUACGGGUGAAAGCAGGGGAUCUUCGGACCUUGCGCGAUCGAAUGAGCCGAUGUCGGAUUAGCUAGUUGGCGGGGUAAAGGCCCACCAAGGCGACGAUCCGUAGCUGGUCUGAGAGGAUGAUCGGCCACACUGGAACUGAGACACGGUCCAGACUCCUACGGGAGGCAGCAGUGGGGAAUAUUGGACAAUGGGCGCAAGCCUGAUCCAGCCAUGCCGCGUGGGUGAAGAAGGCCUUCGGGUUGUAAAGCCCUUUUGUUGGGGAAGAAAAGCAGCAGGUUAAUACCCCGCUGUUCUGACGGUACCCAAAGAAUAAGCACCGGCUAACUUCGUG